Molecule: ribosomal RNA, 84 nt
Filed under: Plumbago zeylanica
Lineage: Eukaryota; Viridiplantae; Streptophyta; Magnoliopsida; Caryophyllales; Plumbaginaceae
Also listed under: 1 other name
Description: partial 5.8S ribosomal RNA
Rfam family: 5.8S ribosomal RNA
About the family: 5.8S ribosomal RNA (5.8S rRNA) is a component of the large subunit of the eukaryotic ribosome. It is transcribed by RNA polymerase I as part of the 45S precursor that also contains 18S and 28S rRNA.
Source: RNAcentral
UGCAGAAUCCCGUGAACCAUCGAGUCUUUGAACGCAAGUUGCGCCCGAAGCCUUCUGGCCGAGGGCACGUCUGCCUGGGCGUCA